UACAGAGGUCUCAAGCGUUGUUCGGAUUCAUUGGGCGUAAAGGGUGCGUGGGCGGCGCGGUAAGUCGGGUGUGAAAUUUCGAGGCUUAACUUCGAAACUGCAUUCGAUACUGCCGUGCUAGAGGACUGGAGAGGAGACUGGAAUUUACGGUGUAGCGGUGAAAUGCGUAGAUAUCGUAAGGAAGACCAGUGGCGAAGGCGGGUCUCUGGACAGUUCCUGACGCUGAGGCACGAAGGCCAGGGGAGCGAACGGG
This 253-nucleotide ribosomal RNA is filed under the name uncultured bacterium. RNAcentral describes it as "partial 16S ribosomal RNA". It matches the Rfam family "Bacterial small subunit ribosomal RNA", at positions 524 to 776 of the family's 1533-position model. The record is from RNAcentral.